This 567-nucleotide ribosomal RNA is filed under the name Triticum aestivum (bread wheat). RNAcentral describes it as "partial small subunit ribosomal RNA". Lineage: Eukaryota; Viridiplantae; Streptophyta; Magnoliopsida; Poales; Poaceae. The record is from RNAcentral.
AUGCACCUAGCUGUGUGCUUUGCGACCAGUCGGAGGAGACGAUGGCGCACCUUCUCACUGGCUGCUCUUUUUGAUGCACCAUGUGGCAUUAGGUGCUCUCUUGGAUCCGAUCAACGACCUCCCCACCCCCAGCAGGUGAUGAUUUUGUGGACUGGUGGCAACAAGCGUGCUAGGAAGGGCAUAUCCUCGAUCAUCAUGUUGGUGGCAUGGUGCGUUUGGAAGCAUGGUAACGUGGUCAUCUUCGACAACACUCAGCUCAGCAUAGCCCGCCUCCUUGACACUAUCAAGGCAGAGACUAGGCAAUGGGCAACGGCAGGUGCGAGAGGUCUUGCGGCGUUGCUACCGUUGGGGGCGGUACCUACCAUUUAUUGGCGGGGUGUUGUAAUUAGGGGUGUCGCCCGUCUUUGGGUCCCAGGGUUAUUGAAGCAACACAAGGUUGUGGAGGAACAAUUCCAUCUUGCUGCUACAAAGUGUAAAACACUGGUGAGAAGGAACUAUUUCAACAUGGCAGCAGGAGUUCAAUCCAAAACUCCUAAAGCACAAGAUCUAGUCCAAGAUCUUAGAUAA